Athene cunicularia (burrowing owl) is the source of this 73-nucleotide small nucleolar RNA. Ensembl annotates it as small nucleolar RNA SNORD101. Lineage: Eukaryota; Metazoa; Chordata; Aves; Strigiformes; Strigidae. The record is from Ensembl.
GUUUGGGUGAUGACUUCAGUUUGUCGGAUACCCCUUCACUCAUUGUAUGAGUGAGAACAGCAGUCUGACAAAC